RNAcentral lists this ribosomal RNA (459 nucleotides) under uncultured bacterium. RNAcentral describes it as "partial 16S ribosomal RNA". It matches the Rfam family "Bacterial small subunit ribosomal RNA", at positions 338 to 795 of the family's 1533-position model. The record is from RNAcentral.
CCUACGGGUGGCAGCAGUGAGGCAUAUUGGUCAAUGGCCGAGAGGCUGAACCAGCCAAGUCGCGUGAGGGACGACGGUCCUAUGGAUUGUAAACCUCUUUUGUCGGGGAACAAAGGCGCCCACGGGUGGGCGGAUGAGUGUACCCGAAGAAAAAGCAUCGGCUAACUCCGUGCCAGCAGCCGCGGUAAUACGGAGGAUGCAAGGGGUAUCCGGAUUUAUUGGGUUUAAAGGGUGCGUAGGCGGACAGUCAAGUCAGCGGUAACAAUGCGGUGCUGAAAGCCGUACAGCCGUUGAAACUGGAAGUCUUGUGUGGGCGAGAAGUAUGCGGAAUGCGUGGUGUAGCGGUGAAAUGCAUAGAUAUCACGCAGAACUCCGAUUGCGAAGGCAGCAUACCGGCGACCUACUGACGCUGAGGCACGAAAGCGUGGGUAUCGAACAGGAUUAGAUACCCCUGUAGUC